Molecule: ribosomal RNA, 296 nt
Filed under: Salmonella enterica subsp. enterica
Lineage: Bacteria; Pseudomonadati; Pseudomonadota; Gammaproteobacteria; Enterobacterales; Enterobacteriaceae
Also listed under: 1 other name
Description: partial 23S ribosomal RNA
Rfam family: Bacterial large subunit ribosomal RNA
Source: RNAcentral
CCGGGGGUAGAGCACUGUUUCGGCUAGGGGGCCAUCCCGGCUUACCAACCCGAUGCAAACUGCGAAUACCGGAGAAUGUUAUCACGGGAGACACACGGCGGGUGCUAACGUCCGUCGUGAAGAGGGAAACAACCCAGACCGCCAGCUAAGGUCCCAAAGUCAUGGUUAAGUGGGAAACGAUGUGGGAAGGCCCAGACAGCCAGGAUGUUGGCUUAGAAGCAGCCAUCAUUUAAAGAAAGCGUAAUAGCUCACUGGUCGAGUCGGCCUGCGCGGAAGAUGUAACGGGGCUAAACCAU